UACGGUCACAUCACGUUGAAACAGCGGUUCCCAUACAAUUACCAAAGUUAAGCGAUGUCGAGUCUGGUCAGUACCUAGCUGGGUGACUGCUUGGGAAUACCAGGUGCUGUAAG
Non-coding RNA from Acanthosepion pharaonis, 113 nucleotides. NCBI's taxonomy places the organism in Eukaryota, Metazoa, Mollusca, Cephalopoda, Sepiida, Sepiidae. The record is from the annotation of a GenBank genome assembly.